GUGUGUGUCCGUCUGUGUCGGUCAGCACACACAGGUCGUCCUUGGCUGUCCGUGUGUGUCUGUGUGUGUCUGUCAGCACACACAAGACUUCCGUGGCUGUCCAUGAGUACACAUAUCAGCACGUUGGUCCUUGGACUCAGCACGCUGACCCUUCCCGUGGACUUUUCGGGUGAUUUUGGCCCACGUAGGCUGUCUGUUCAGGACACACAGGGCAUCCGUGGGUGUCCGUCAGCACACACAAGACGUCCGUGGG
Molecule: long non-coding RNA, 253 nt
Filed under: Brassica napus (rape)
Lineage: Eukaryota; Viridiplantae; Streptophyta; Magnoliopsida; Brassicales; Brassicaceae
Description: long non-coding RNA (BNAP_LNC025003)
Source: RNAcentral